AUCUGGGAGGCCACAAACCAUGGAAGCUGUACGCAUGGCGUAGUGGACUAGCGGUUAGAGGAGACCCCUCCCUUGCAAGUCGCAGCAACAAUGGGGGCCCAAGGUGAGAUGAAGCUGUAAUCCCACUGGAAGGACUAGAGGUUAGAGGAGACCCCCCCGAAAUAAAAAACAGCAUAUUGACGCUGGGAAAGACCAGAGAUCCUGCUGUCUCCUCAGCAU
Molecule: long non-coding RNA, 219 nt
Filed under: dengue virus type 2
Lineage: Riboviria; Orthornavirae; Kitrinoviricota; Flasuviricetes; Amarillovirales; Flaviviridae
Description: Dengue virus type 2 partial sfRNA3
Rfam family: Flavivirus DB element (bases 93-164)
Source: RNAcentral